Long non-coding RNA from Apus apus (common swift), 462 nucleotides. RefSeq lists it as uncharacterized. The record is from RefSeq and is a predicted model, not a curated record. The transcript has 3 exons. NCBI's taxonomy places the organism in Eukaryota, Metazoa, Chordata, Aves, Apodiformes, Apodidae.
CUAGAAGGUGCUGGGGGAACAGGAAGAGGAGGGGGUCUUCAUCACAGUGAGGAUCAGAGAACCUUUUCAGGAUUGCUUUCUGAGCUGAAGGCAGGGAAGCUGCUGUCACUGCUGGAGUUAAGAGAACCAAACAGCCUCUUCUACUGAGCCAGGGAGGACUCCAUCUAUCCAUCACCAUUGAUCCCCAGGCCCAUGCAUUCCUGAACCUCAACCACUCUCCCCUCGGCUCCAGUCUGCUCUGCUGCUCCCUCCAACAGCUCCUGGACAUUUUGGAAUUGCUCCGAGCUCAGGAGAUGCCCUGGGAGCUGCUGGGGGUGAGGGGGAAUGGUAAGGGUUUUGCACAUUCCUGCAAAUACUUGUAAAUAAUUGUACAUAUUUUUUUUAGUAUUAGUACAAUUUAUAUUAGUAUUAUUAGUAUUUUAUUAGUAGUAUUUAAUUAAAGCUGUGUAGUUUAGUUUUCAA